CCAGAAGAAAUUAAGAAAACAUAUAAAGUCAAUCAUGAAGUGGAUUUGACCUUUGGACGAUUAACCUGUUGGCGCCAAUCAAACAACAAGAUAUACCUUUACCUCGGCUUCUACAACACUUAUUUUACUUUCCGUUUGCCCUUGAGUAUAAAGAUAACAGUGUGAAAUUCUUCCCGAGUGCUUCUGGCCUAUUGAGGACAGCUCGCCUCACAUGUUGAGAUCUGGGGUGAAGCAGGUGCUGUUUUUGUAAAGGGCUCCAUGCACAUAAAUGAGAGCAUCUAGUUUUAGAUGUUGGCACACUUGUUGGCUGCAUUGCCUACUGAAGUUACAUGUCCAAACAGAGGGAGAACAAUGUGCUGCUGGUCACAACAUGGAUUUUAUUAUUAGCUUUCUUUUAUACAGAUUAAAUAUAUUUUGUUAACGUCAGUUUUUUUUCUCUCUCUCUUUCUUUAUGCUACUAGGAAAUAUUACCAAUUAAAAUUAUGAAAAUUCAAAUUGUCCACAUAUUCACAAACCAUUUGUCCUCAAAUGUAAAGGAAAACUGUAAAGUUUCAGUUUGAUUGAAUCCUUAAAAUAACCAUAUUCAUCCAAUAUGGUAUCAUUUAAAGGGAGAGCAUAGUUGGUUUCCUCCCCUUCACGUCUCCAUUCUCAGCUGUUCAGGGUUGACUCCACCUUCAAUCAUCUGCCUAUCAUUAACCUGCUCAUCACCUUGAAUUACAUCUACAUUUUCCAGCACACACACACACAGUUUUGAACUAAAUAAGAUGAAUUUGGUAAUUAAAAGUGUGUCUCAAGGCUUUGCAUUUUUUCAGAUGCAAGGACUCAAGGAACCCCAGAGCUCUUCUGUUUAAAGGUCUCAAGCCUUACACACUCAACAGAAUGGAGAGGAUACUUGAUGCAGCGUGGAAGACGUUUAGAGGACACACUUUGGUCCAUCAGAGAUGCACCCUUUAUAUUUGGUAGACACCGUGACUGCAACGAUCUACCAACGAAAGUUUUGGGUUUCAUUCAUGCAAGAAAUAGUAAAUAAUGUGAACUACAGGUAAUGACAUCAAGAAGCACAGAGUCAAACCAAACAAGUCUUUUAGAAAGAUGCAAGCGAGAGCUUCAUUCUUCAUCAUGCCCUUUCUGUGUGGGGGAGAGAGAAGAGAAAGAAGUUUGGAAGGAUCCUGUUGGGGAAGCCCUUUCUGCAGAUUCUGAUGCCCUCCAGCACACCGUUACAGCGCAGCUGGUGCAUGACCAGAGGAUUCUCCAUCGCCCCAGGAGUCUUAGUCUCAUUGGGGAUGAUGCAGCGCACAAA
Carassius auratus (goldfish) is the source of this 1300-nucleotide long non-coding RNA. RefSeq lists it as uncharacterized. NCBI's taxonomy places the organism in Eukaryota, Metazoa, Chordata, Actinopteri, Cypriniformes, Cyprinidae. The record is from RefSeq and is a predicted model, not a curated record. The transcript is spliced from 5 exons.